This 433-nucleotide ribosomal RNA is filed under the name uncultured bacterium. Its description in RNAcentral is "partial 16S ribosomal RNA". It matches the Rfam family "Bacterial small subunit ribosomal RNA", at positions 29 to 507 of the family's 1533-position model. The record is from RNAcentral.
AACGAACGCUGGCGGCAUGCCUAACACAUGCAAGUCGAACGAUGCCUUCGGGCAUAGUGGCGCACGGGUGCGUAACGCGUGGGAAUCUGCCUUUCGGUUCGGAAUAACUCAGGGAAACUUGAGCUAAUACCGGAUAACGUCGCAAGACCAAAGAUUUAUCACCGAAAGAUGAGCCCGCGUAGGACUAGCUAGUUGGUGAGGUAAAGGCUCACCAAGGCGACGAUCCUUAGCUGGUCUGAGAGGAUGAUCAGCCACACUGGGACUGAGACACGGCCCAGACUCCUACGGGAGGCAGCAGUGGGGAAUAUUGGACAAUGGGCGAAAGCCUGAUCCAGCAAUGCCGCGUGAGUGAUGAAGGCCUUAGGGUUGUAAAGCUCUUUUACCCGGGAAGAUAAUGACGGUACCGGGAGAAUAAGCCCCGGCUAACUCCGUG